RNAcentral lists this unclassified non-coding RNA (354 nucleotides) under Hevea brasiliensis (rubber tree). The record is from RNAcentral. Lineage: Eukaryota; Viridiplantae; Streptophyta; Magnoliopsida; Malpighiales; Euphorbiaceae.
GGAAAUUGUGAGACUUGAGGAGGAUGAAUUGGAGUUUGAUAUGAUUGGUAUUGAUCCUUCUCUUGCCAAUGCAUUUCGCAGAAUCCUUAUUGCUGAGCUUCCAACCAUGGCUAUUGAAAAAGUUCUUAUUGCAAACAAUACAUCCAUCAUCCAAGAUGAAGUGCUUGCUCAUAGGCUUGGUCUCAUCCCAAUUAAAGUCGAUCCAAGGCUGUUUGAGUAUAUGUCAGAAAAUGAUGUCCCUAAUGAAAAGAAUACAAUUGUUUUCAAACUCCAUGUCCGUUGUACAAAAGGCAGUGAUCGACUUAGAGUCUUAUCUAGUGAGCUGAAGUGGUUACCAAAUGGCAGUGAAUUGAU